CAAGAGACUGCAGUCUCGCACAGAGGAUCUCUACAUGGCCUCAGAAAACCAAUUUGUUUCUUUUCUCAUUUGAUAUUUCUGCUACUUCUGUCUCUCUAUAUCUACCUGGGAGCCCACAGCCGUGAAUUACGGUAUGAAUCAUGAUAAUAUGUUACAUUUCCUGGAGCACUUUGCAUUUUAGGUGCCACAUCAUUGGGAACUAUGAUGAUGAUGACGACGAUGACGACGAUACACUUAUUCUGGAUUCUAUCAGCAAAUUAAAUAAUGAUAGUGACAACCUCUGGUGGGACGCCUUUGCCACUGAAUUUUUUGAAGAUGACGCCACAUUAACCCUUUCAUUUUGUUUGGAAGAUGGACCAAAGCGAUACAGAACCAAGAAUUUAAGACCAAUUGGGGAAAAAAUGAAUAUUAAUGGAAAAUGGUGUUGCUGCCAGAAUUUAUUGUUUGGGGACUGGAGAAGAGAACUGUUCUACACAAUAAAAAAUUAUUGAGAAACACA
RNAcentral lists this long non-coding RNA (499 nucleotides) under Homo sapiens (human). Its description in RNAcentral is "non-protein coding lnc-TAPT1-6:1". Lineage: Eukaryota; Metazoa; Chordata; Mammalia; Primates; Hominidae. The record is from RNAcentral.